GUGUGUGUGUGCAUCUCUGUGUGUGUGUGUGUAUGUGUGUGCAUGUGUUCAUGUGUGUGGUUCUGUGUGUGUGUGCAUGUGUUUGUGUACGUGUAGGUUUGUGUGUGCAUGUGUGUGCAUGUGUUUGUGUAUGCGUGGGUUUGUGUGUGCAUGUGUGUGUAUGUGUGAUUUGAAAUCAGUUACUCUGAGUGGAAGUCAGAGGGAAAGGAUAUUCUAACGCGGCAUUGAAGGCAUUACUGUGGCAUCAAAACCAACAAGGAAAGGUCAUGGGUGGACGGAGUGAGAAUAAAGGGGCAGGCGGAUGGGCAGGACUGGGGUGAAUCCUAGCAGGAGAACUUGCAAAAACCCAGCCCCUGCUUGACAGAGAAUGCCGUUUGGGUGCAGUGAGAGAUCUUUAGGAAACUGCCUGCUGUUUGUUGUUACCCCUUGUUCCCUCCGUAGGAGGUUUGGACAGGCAAUCUCUCACUGACGUGCUUGUAACUUUCAUUGUCACCUUUAUCAACAGACUCGCCCCAUGGAGAGGACAAAUUGGAUUCAUGACCAGACCUCUGAGGGGCUGCGUCUCCAGGUAGCUGGUGGGAAGCUGUCUGGAAACAAACAUUUUCCAGCUCGCUCGACCCUCACAUUUCCAGAGCAGAAGAAUACCCUGAAAGUGUUUUUCACGUACGAUUUCAGAAUCCUCACGAAAAGCCUCAAGUGUUUCUCCAGUUAUAGGGAGAUUCUAAAAAUGUGUGGAUCAAGGGGUACCGCUUCUACUUAUUAACUUACUUGUGGGAAGCAUGAGAACUCCUCAAAGUCAGAGCAAUGGCUCUAAAAUGGAUCUGCUCCUGUCAACAGAGCUCCUGCACAGCCAGGACCAACGCCUGAGUAUCCAGGACCAUGUCUCCCAGCCCAGAAACGACUCCUGCACACCUAAAGAUACCCAGUCAACCCUCACCUUGCCUGUAAGCCCCCUUCCCAGGAAAUAAGAGCAGAAGAACAAAGAAGCCACAGAGUUUCAUCUCGAGGAUAUGGAAAUGAAAUACACUGUGUAACUGUUAAGGACUGAAUUAUGUCCUCCUGAAAUUCAUAUAUGGAGCCCUCAUGCCUAAUGUGACUGUAUUUGGAGACAGGGGCUUUAAAUAAGUCAUUAAGUGUAUUAGUCCAUUCUCACCCUGCUAAUAAAGACAUGCCUGAGACUAGGUAGUUUAAAAAGGAAAGAGGUUUGAUUGACUCACAGUUCCACGUGGCUGGGGAGGCCUCACUAAUGUGGCAGAAGAUGAAGGAGAAGCAAAAGAAUGUCUUACAUGGCAGCCAACAAAGAGAACUUGUGCAGCGGAGCUCCCAUUUAUAAAACCAUCAGAUCUCAUGAGAGUUAUUCACUCAGGCAAGAACAGUAUGGGGGCAACUGCCCCCAGGAUUCAAUGAUCUCCCACUGGCUCCCUCCCAUGACGUGGGAAUUAUGAGAACUACAAUUCAAGGUGAGAUUGGGGUGGGGACACGACCAAGCCAUAUCAUUAAGGUGAAAUGAAGUCAAAAGCAAGGGGCCCUACCUCAUAUGACUGUGGCCUUAUAAGAACAGGAAGAGACACUGGGGAUGAAGGUACACAGAGAAAAGGCCGUAUGAGAGCACAGCUGAGAGAUGGCCAUCUGCAACCCAAGAAGAAAGGCCUCAGGAGAAACCAAACCUGCCCACGCAUUGUUCUUGGACUUCCAGCCUCCAGGACUGUAAGACAGUAAGUUCCUAUUGUUUAAGCCACCCAGUCUCUGGUAUUUUGUUUUAUGGCAGCCCAAGUAAACAAAUGCAAUAACAGUAGAAGAAAGCUGAUCAGUGGAAACAGAAAAACGACAGAAUGAAUGUCUUUCGCAAUGAAUAUGAAAAGCUUGGAAAAGGAUUCCACUAAAGCUGACAAUUCUUUCAUAGAUGGAUUACGGAACAGUUGGACAUGAAACAAAAUAAAAAUGAUCACAGCUCUCCCUCUGUGCCUGAAGCAGUUUCUAGGGGGAAAUUCAAACGUGAAAAGCCAAGCAGAUGAUCUGAGAUGUUAACUGAGAUGAGUGAAGGCACCAAGCAUCAGGCAAUGUGGACUUUCUGACCAGCACCGUGUUCUUGCCUGCAAAACUGCCUAUUAGUAGGGAUUGGCACAACCCUGGAAAUAAACUUUUCUAGGGUGACACAUCUUCAAUGAGAACAUUGUUUGAGGCCUCUGUGCUCAAGAGACCGUGUUUGGUUUUUGAAAUGUUUGGUUUUCUCCUUUGGAAUGGAAUAGCCUGGGGAGGAAUAAGGAGUGUGCGUGGCAGCAGCCCAGGAGAUGCUUUCUUUUUCCCUGUAAUCCAGAUACGAUGCUAGUUUUAUCUAUUAGGUGGCAAAGGCAGCAAGGAUUGUGCCUUUCAUCUUUUUUGAUGAGGUAAAGCUGCAAGCCAGGGAAUGUAUUUAGCUUUUCUGUUCUGCACAGAGCAUUCUGGUCAGCUGAUGGUGAAUGAUGUGCAGUUGUUGAGGUUCCUAGCUUCUCCAGAGCAAUUCCUGCUGAAGGCUUUCCUGCCAUCUUGCAGAGUUGGAGUCUGGGGAUGUUAAGAAGUUUAAGAAGAAAAACAACACAAAACAAAGAAAAAAAACAGAAGCUCACCACCUUCAUCAUGUAAGCAAAGAUAUCUUAUGAAGGAAUUCAUUCAAUUCACAUAAAAACCUUGGUAUACAGAGGCAGGAAAAUGUCAUUAUACCCAUUUCACAGAAGGAGAAACAAGGAGUGAUUAAAAAGAAGGAAUGAAGAGGAGAAGGAAGGAAGGAAAGAAGAAAGGAGAGGAUGGGAAAGAAGGGAGG
Macaca nemestrina (pig-tailed macaque) is the source of this 2800-nucleotide long non-coding RNA. NCBI's taxonomy places the organism in Eukaryota, Metazoa, Chordata, Mammalia, Primates, Cercopithecidae. The record is from Ensembl.